AGACACAUGCCGAUUUUGGUGGCUGGGGUCCAUGUCUGAAUCUGGAGCUUGGGAGGGAUUUAACUAAAGAUGCAGGUUUGGGAGUCAUUAGGAGCUCCCGUGGCUGUGUUCUUGGUCCAUGAGUGGACUAGUGGGGACCAGAAAUGCUAGGAUUUUUGUCUAGGACUGAGACUCGGAACUGCUGCUUCUGGAAUGGAAUCGGUUGUCAAGCGCCGCUCCUCCCAGCCUCCAAUUUCAUAGAACUUCCAAAUAACUGCAGGAGCUGUAAAAACAGGGUGAACUGCAUCUAGCAGGAUUUCCUCUGCCUGCCCAUGGGACCACAGACAUGUAGUUUCCCUGAAGUUAGGCGUCAUGCAGAAAGCCCCUCCCAGGCCCAGCACUGGGCAGGACUUGGCAGACGGAAGGCACUUCCCUCGCCUCCUGAGACACCCAUGAGAGCUUCCACCUGAAAAACACAUCCAUUCCUGACACAAUGGCUGCGUGAUGCUCCCUGAGGUCAGUGUGGGCGCCAGCCUGGAGGAAAAAGUGAGGUGAUGGGUCUGACCCCAGUGCCUUUGCUCGGUACGGCAAGGCUCUGACGUUUCCCAGCCUGGAUGUGGGAGGAAGGCCUGGUGCGGCUGGGGGCCGAAGGUCCUGAGGGUCGGGACGGAGCCACUCUGAGCAUGGACUUCAAAACAGGAAAUCUGCAGGUUUGUCCUGGACGCCUAUUGGCCCCUGGCCGAGGGGCCAGAAUGUCCACCCUCCCCACGAGCAGAAGCCCUGAAUCUGAAACAUCAGAACAGAAGGCAGUAAGGAAAGGGCUGGUGCAGCGGGGCCACUGGCACAUCCUGUUCCCCUCGGCUCUAUUAACACCUGCUGUUCUUCAGUCUGAGCCCCUCACCUCCCCAGAAGACAAGAAGGGGUCGAAGUCCCCGGUUACGCAUGCCCAUUGGACCGUGAAGGAUUGUGGUGCCUGUUCAAACAUCAAACCAAGGUGGGGGUUGGCUUCCUGCCCGUAUCAUGAGCGAUGGCUCCAGUCCAGGAUCCCUUCGAGGACCCAAGUGAACCCUGACACAAACGAAGCACCACGUGUGCCCAGCUAUGAGCAUGUUAUUACUGAAGCUGCCGUGAAGGUAAAAGCUAAGCAACAGCAUCUCAAGUCAGGGUUGGUGGAGGCUUCAGUUCCGGUUGCCCCUCUGAGAUGGAGUCCCGCCUUCCAGAGUCCGUGGGAUUUUCCUUAAAGAGUCAGCAUAUGUGAACCCAAAGCACUACGAGGUUUUAAUUUCCUUCUUCGAGGCCUUCUGUAAGAGCCCAUCAGGAUCUAUUAACCAAUACAAACAGAUUGGCUUUCAAAACGUGAGGUUCGUUGAUUCUCUUGGGCAGGGGACACAUCCUUUAAUCGAUUUUCUCCUAUGUUCCCAAGACUGGCUAACAGCCAAGGGCAGGGACCUAAGGGACACACUUUUCUCCCCCCUCCCCCA
RNAcentral lists this long non-coding RNA (1460 nucleotides) under Sus scrofa (pig). RNAcentral's name for it is "lncRNA (ENSSSCG00060003722.1)". Lineage: Eukaryota; Metazoa; Chordata; Mammalia; Artiodactyla; Suidae. The record is from RNAcentral.